Molecule: ribosomal RNA, 254 nt
Filed under: uncultured bacterium
Lineage: Bacteria
Description: partial 16S ribosomal RNA
Rfam family: Bacterial small subunit ribosomal RNA
Source: RNAcentral
UACGUAGGCAGCAAGCGUUGUUCGGAGUUACUGGGCGUAAAGGGUGCGUAGGCGGCUUUUUUAAGUUUGGUGUGAAAUCUCCCGGCUCAACUGGGAGGGUGCGCCGAAUACUGAGAGGCUAGAGUGUGGGAGAGGAAAGUGGAAUUCCUGGUGUAGCGGUGAAAUGCGUAGAUAUCAGGAGGAACACCGGUGGUGUAAACGGCUUUCUGGACCAUAACUGACGCUGAUGCACGAAAGCGUGGGUAGCAAACAGG